Molecule: small nucleolar RNA, 137 nt
Filed under: Charadrius vociferus (killdeer)
Lineage: Eukaryota; Metazoa; Chordata; Aves; Charadriiformes; Charadriidae
Source: RNAcentral
CUUCAGUGAAGAUGAGUUGACAAGUCUGAAAGGAAAUAUUCAUGUCCGAGUCCCCUGUAUUGUGUUGUGUUCUACAGCAUGGAUUUGGAAACCUUGGGUCACAAUUUGAGUGACUUUGAGGCAUUUGUCUGAGAAGC